CACCAGAUGGACAUUCCAGAAAUAAACACAUAUUUUGGUUCUGGAUAAAGUUCUUGGGAAAGGCCAAGGAAGAUAGAAUAUUGGAAAAGAGACAAUGGAGUUUGAGCCAUACAAUAAAUGUUACCAUGUGGAAUGUGAACCACCUGACUAAAUCAGAUGCCUCUAGAGAGGAAAAAAAGGAAACAGCAAAUACCUUUAUAUCCCUUGGAGCCAUCAAAGGAAGCCUGCAACGCAUGGCAUCAGAUCCUCUCAGGUUUAAUAUCUGAUGUGUUUGCAUCUCUGAUGUGGAGAAAGAUUUCUAAGAGGUCUAACAAUGGGUUAGAUCAUUCCUCUACCUGCAACAAACCUGCACAGGGAACAGGGAACUUCCUUGAGGAGUUUUCUCUGGACCAUUCAAUCAGAGAGGUCUCCCAGCAGUUCUUUCUCAUCCUUGGCAGCACAGCUCCAGUGGAGUUAUGAUGACAGGGCUUCCAGCACAGGGUGACCAGACAGCAAGUAUGAAAAAAUGGGACAGGGGGCUGGGGGUAAUAGGCACCUAUAUAAGACAAAACCCUAUAAAAUUGGGACAUAGUCACUCUAUUCCAACUGCUAGCCACUACCCCAAAACAUUGCCAUGUCAUGGAGGGGCUCCACACAAAGGUUAAUACAGCCAGUGGCUGAAUUUACUUCUGAGCAGCUUCCCAGACUGUAUCCAGAGGGGAAAACACACUAGUUCUCCCAAGUCCAUGCAUGUUUUUCCUCCCCAAGCCACUCUCCAGAGCUAGAUCCCUGACCUUUCAGAGCAUGCCAGAGAUGGUAGGUGGGGGGAAUAUUGCCAGAGUCCUUUCCCCACACAAUAGAGUGUCCCCUCCACACACAGAUCAUGAGGGAAGAUGAUCUAGGCCAAUCUUACUAUUGCUAACUAUAGCUUUUCUGGUCUUGUAUGUUGUGAAGAAAAAACUAACUGUAACUUUAGAGAUAUCACAUGUGCCUAUUUUGUGGGAUUUUUUUAUUUAUUUAUACAAUUGUGAUGAAGCUGAGAAACCUCACACCAGCACGAAAAGGCUAAAGAGAGUCUAUGGGCCCAGCUGGCCCUGCCCUGCUAUACCUGCAGCCAAUGCCAGGCCUGGGAGGAGAAGACAAGGAGAGAACCUGGCCCAGUUCAGGGCUGACUGGUGAAGAGGCAGAAGCAAGCUGCUUCUUUACAUGACGGGAGCAUCACUAGGAGCCUGACAGCCACCAGGGAAGAAGCACUGCAUCUCUGAUCAAG
This 1249-nucleotide long non-coding RNA is filed under the name Chrysemys picta bellii (western painted turtle). Its description in RNAcentral is "lncRNA (ENSCPBG00000027371.1)". The record is from RNAcentral. Lineage: Eukaryota; Metazoa; Chordata; Testudines; Emydidae.